Molecule: long non-coding RNA, 13349 nt
Filed under: Prunus persica (peach)
Lineage: Eukaryota; Viridiplantae; Streptophyta; Magnoliopsida; Rosales; Rosaceae
Description: long non-coding RNA (PPER_LNC003816)
Source: RNAcentral
GGGUACGCAUGCAAUCGAAACAACAUGUUCACCUGCACGGAUGCAAGCAAAUAUAUAUUCUGGGAUUCAUUUCAUCCAACAGAGAAAGCAAAUCAUAUAAUCUCUGAUUAUGUGAUGAAUAAUGUACUGGCCCAGUUUCGUUGAUUCUCUUCAAUUUCAAGACCAAUGUAUGUGUCCUAUGUUUUAGUGUCAUUAUAUAUAGUACAGUAAGACAUUAAGCAUGAUGUUGGUAGAAAAUAUGAUGUUGACACUUGGCAGAAAAAUGGCAUAAAGCCUGUGAACCUAUGAUCAAAUUGGUGCCUGGGAUGUCAAUACGUACUUGUCCCCACAUUUCUUAGUAACCCUCAGUCGUUUUCAUGAUAUAAUUUUUUUUCCCCCAAAUUUUUGUGCCCUACAGGCAACAGCAGCAACACUCUAUGUGGAAGUACAUUGUGGCAGGGUUGGCUAUAAAUUUAAGUAAUUUGCAUUAAGGCUCUAGUAUAAGUACUGUAAUUUGAAGGGCUGGGACCUAGUUAGGCGAUUUGUACUAGACAAUGCCCUCACAAGGGCGGACCACACUUGGAGUCGCAUAAUAAGGCAAGUUACUUAUGACGCUCUAUUUUAUUGAUCCCUCGUUAUUUAAGGUUUUCUUGAUAUUUCUUUAAAAUAAAGGUAAUGUGCUUGAUGAAAUGCCUACCAAAAUUGACGCGGCCAUAUGGUAAUAUAUUUUUCUGCCCCCACAAAGAAAAAUCCACAGAUCCCCUAUUUGUUGAGGGAAUUUUGGAAUAUAAGUUUAAUACUACAAGUUAAAUAAUGCCUAGACAAGCUUAGUGAUCAUAUUCAUCAAUAAGGAUUGCUUGGUUAGAGAAUCAGAAGUGGAAGGGACAUACACCUUUUGCUGUUGGAAUCUUCUGCAAUGGGAAGGUGUAUUGUGGGUGUAAAUUUGUAUUUUUUGCCAAAGAUGGACAAUAAAAUGCAAUUGUACAUCUAUUUUUACAUUUUUUUUGCAAACAGUAACGACUGAAGAGGGAAUGUUGAUGAAGAAUUAGGCGCCUAGAUGCGCACCUAAGCUUUAGUCGCCAGCCAACUGCUGCUCCACAGGUCCCACGGCUACUUAGUGCAUUCUGACAUCAUCACAUUGCUUCUUGCAACUGUCUUACUCUUCCCAAGAAUCAAGGGUUGUGAUUCAUCUCCAUUCAAAAUAGAAGUCCUAGAUUCAUUGACCUUUAUAAACUGAAAAAAUUACCUAAAAUAAAUACAUAACCAUCAAAUGGUUCAAAAAAUUCCCAUCAAAUGGUUCAAAAAAUUCAAAACCAAACACUUAAAAUGUUAUUUUCUGAAGGCUUUUUAUCAUAAAACAUUUCUGACGUUUGCGAAACUAUCAGAUUGCAUCCUUAAAAAUUUUUUGUAUCACUCAUGGUCCCUAACGUUAAUAUAGGUGCUCUUAGAUAGUCCCUCUGUCAAAAAAAAUUGUUAAAUCCAGGGAUAUAAUCAUCAAAUCAAUCCAAAUAAUAAUAUAUAUAUAUUAUUUCCUUCCCUUCUCUCUUUCUUUCUUCUUCUUCUUUCUCUCUUUAUUUUCUUCUUCUUCUCAAAUUUAAUGGGGAUUUUUUCUCUGGAUCAAGGCCUAACAACAAUGUCUGAGCCAAAGAAUUGACAAUGACUUUAAAGCUUUAGAUAAUUAUGUUUAUCAGUUCCUUUCCUUCUAUAUACGUGUAUAUUCAGAAUAUCCUUGGAUUCCUUUUGGUCCUCAUUAUUUUCUAGGAGUUAAUUUGAGUUUCCAGACACAUUUAUCCACACAGCUUAACUAAAAACACAAAUUUUUCAUCUUUUGCUGAAGUAUCAAUGUCUUUGACAUCUUUUCCAGUCCUAUUACUUUAGCUGCAUUGUUUUCAAUUCAUAUUCUAGGUUUAGGCAUGCGCAUAAUACCUGCUUAUAAGUAUAUUUAAUUUAUGUUUGAGAAAAAAAUCACCCAAUUCAAAAACUUAACCAGAGAAGAUAAAGUUCGUAACUUUUGUGGUUUAGGGAGCAAAGAGAAAUUUGGAUGUUUUUGCUAUAAGGAAUCUGGCGGAGAGAGAGAGAAGAAGAAGAAAAGAAAGAGAGAAAGAAGAAGAGGAAAGAAAGAGAGAAGGGAAGGAAAUAUAUAUAUAUAUAUAUAUUAUAUAAUUUUGGAUUGAUUUGACUAUUAUAUGUUAUAAAAAAUAAUAGUUUUCCUCUUUCCGUAAAGCCAAAUACAAAACAUUUAUAUCAUAAAUAAUAUAUAAACAAAUUGGAAAGCUUUGAAGGUAUAAUAAAAUUGAAGAAAACAAAAUAAUAGGUAAGUAAAGGAAAAUAAAUAAUAAGUAAGAAAGUGAGUUUGGUACGGUGAAGCACGUCAAAGACGCUGUCCUAAAGCCUUUGUAGCCUCCCUACGUGCAGGUACUGACGGUCUACAAGACUCCAAGAUACGACCCCUUGUACACAAACUCAAGAUCCGCUAUGAGCACGUUCACAGACAGAUAUAGGUAUCCAAGUCACAUAACCAUUGCCCAAAAUAAUAAUAAUAAAGUAGAGAAUAUAUGUAAAAGUAGAAAAGGAGAGAAUUAGAAUGUGUAUGUGAUAUUCUGAUAGUGUAUUGUAUAUAUCGUGUGUUAUUGUGUGUUUCAAAUGUGAAGGAGGAGUGGCCUUUUAUAGGCAUUUUCUUAAUCUUAUCAUAAUUUUAAUAAAUUUAGGUCGAUUUGUUUGGAAAAAAUAAUUAAACUUAACAUAAGAAACAAUUAACACAAAAAAUUAAAACACAAGAAAAUUUAACAUAAAAACCAAAUUUACAUCUUUCUUUAUUGAAGCAAAAUCAUGAUUUACAUUCGCCGAAAAUAUAAAAGAGAUGUAAAAAUGACUUUACACUCCCAAAUCUACGUCUCCCCACUGAAAAUGCUCUUAGAUCAUCAAAUUGGAAGUGUAUGUUCCUCCAUGACCUUCGCUUAAAACAGAAAGGUGGGGGAAAGACGAUAAAAUCAAAAUGUUCUACAUUAUGCGCGAUCUCUCGUAGCCAUAGCUCUAGAAUUCCAAAUGAACAUAAAACCUAAGUACGCACCCCACCUUUGUUUUAUUGCUUUUGGAUUGUACUUGUCGAAUAUUAAUUAUUGACAAGGAUAUCAAUAAUGCUCACGCCACACAUAUGGUUAAUUGUAAUAAUUUAGUAUGGUUGAAAAUUCCCUAUUUUAGAAAGCUUUAUCAAAUGUUUUUAUAAUGAAGACGGCUCUAUUUAUUGACUCUUGCACAUUAAAUUUUUAGGUGUUAUAUAUAUAUAUAUAUUUAUUUUUUUGUCAUUCGCUAGGGAGAGGGAGGAGGAGCAUUAUAUUGGAUUGUCUUAAAAUUAUCUCUUACGUGAAUCGAAUUCGGGUGCAUUUCAGGGUGGGGGAGAGUUUGGCCCACUUUUUCACUAUGGUGUCACCCCAUAUGUAAAUUUUAUGCGUUAUUAAAAGGGUGUUGUUAAACAAACCCUAAAAUUAACUUAGUACACCAUACUACCAAACUAUUUAUUGAGUUACUAAUUUACCCUAAUAUAAAAUGACCAAAAAGGAUACAUUGAAUUGUAAAUACCCAAUUAAUUUUAGGAUAUACUUGGUUAAUUUUAGGAUUCGUCAAACAACACCCUAUUAAAAUUUGACUUAUGCUACAAUCAAUCAUGUAUGUUUGCAAAUAUAAUUUCUACCAGUUCAAUUGUUCGGCCAAAUGAAGCACAUAUUUAUUUUUCAAAUGUCAUCCACAUAUAUUAUGAUACAUGAACUUAUUAUACAACGUGACUGUAUUCUAAUACCAUACAAUAAUUUCUAAAAGGCUAAAUUGUAGCAAUGGUACUUGGACUAAGACCAAACUUUACUUUUCGUCCCUCCCAUUGUUUUGUUGUUACCGUGGUACUUCAAUUAGCUCUCAUGUUGCAUCAUUGGUUUUUCCGUCAACUUAGUUAAAUUUUCUGUCAAAAUUAAGGGUAAAUUGGAAAAUUCUAUUUUUUUUUUCUCUCUCUCUCUCUCCCCUCCCCUACUGUGCACUCUCCCUCUUCCCCCGACGAUUUCUUCUUCCCCCAUUCCCCAUGACUACCACCUGCAAGCUCCAACCCUCAAACUAUCCCACAGCCACCCUCUACCGUAGCCGCAACCCUAGCACCCACGAACCCAAAACUCGAGCCCUCAUCCUCCACCCCAGAUCUGAUCAAAACAGAGAAGCAGAGGGUUGAUGGGUAUCUAGGUGGGCCGCUUGCAUUGUCUGUCCCAUUUUCAUAUAUUCUUCUUGCAUUGGUUUUUUAUCAAAAUACACCAUUUUUCAAGGCCCCUUCUCACCCAUAUUUCUUCUCCUGCCCACCAAUUUCUUCCCAGCCCCCACCAAUCAUUUAACCAUGGCUUUAGCUAUACAGCCCACCACCAACCUCCUCCAAAAUCCCUUCCUAGGCCUCUAUAGGUUACGAAUGGAUGGGUUGUUACUAGAUUCUUUUUGCAUAUAUGGUGUUUUGCAGUUCAAAUGGAUAUUGGGAGGAAGCUUUAGAAAUUUUACAUAGUUGAGAGUGAACCUCCGACCUUUUUUUUUGGGGGGGAGGGGGGGCGGGAAUCGGGGGAGAGAGAGAUACGAUUUUAUUUUUUAUUUUUUUAAAAAUUUUGUGCCAAAAUACAUUUUUGCCCAUGCCAAGUAGGACUUGUCAAUGCCAUAUCAUCAUUUUUAACGGAAAAUUUGACAAAGAUGACGGCAAGGACGGUUUCUGUAACUGGAGGCAUAAUUAAAAUACCACGGUAACAACAAAACAAAGGGAGGGACAAAAAGUAAAGUUUGGUCUUAGUCCACGAACCAUUGCUACAAUUUAGCCUUUCUAAAAAUUACCGAAACUAGUAUUUCUCUAGAUGGGCCCACUUUGAAGCUAGUAUUAUACUAUUUCUCACCGUGAGCUCAUACACUUUAGUUCCCCCGUUAUUAUUUCCCACGAUACAAGUCGAAAGAAAUAGGGUAAAACGUGAAAACACAGCCCAACCUUCAAAGUUGAAUGAAAUCAUUUCAUUUUUUCUUUUACCAAAAAAAUCAGAGACUCAUUAGCAGAAGAAGAAAGAAAAACCCCAUAACAUCAACAGUCACCAUGAAAAACCUCUACAACAAGAAAGGCAUAGUCCACCCAUCUCCAUCGCCAGCCCCCCCAGCCAUUCUCACCCUAACCGCAGCCCUCUGCGACGAAGACAAGCAGGUCCUGGCCUACCUCAUCUCUCCUACACCAACAACAACAACAACAACUCAGGCAGCAACAUCUGUGGUAUUUUUGGGCAUUGGUCCCCAAACCAAUGUCAUAAAAGUAAUCUGUCAGAUUUGUUGGAGUAUGAAAGCUGCUAAAAUAUGAAUAUGGUUUGAAUGUAUUAGGUUGAGUUUUAUUCUUCUCCAUAAAGAUGUAUAUAUAAGAGUUUACAUGUGCUAUACAAUGAAUUAGAUACAGUAAAGAAUUAGGAAAGUAUCUCCUAAUUAUACAAUGAUUUAUCAACUAUAUAAAAAUAGGAAAGUAAAUCCCUUAAUUAAUCAAGGAAGUAAAUCUCCUUAAUUAAUUAGGAGACUCACGUCAACACUCUUCCUCAAGUUUGUGCAUAUAUGUCACCAAUGCCCAACUUCGUAAGUGAGUCAUAAAAUACUCUUCCACAAAUAGAUUUGGUUAAGAUAUCUGCCAACUGAUCUUCUGAUUUUACGAAUAGUAGGUAGAUGAUCUUCUUCUCAAGUUUUUCUUUGAUAAAAUGUUUAUCCACCUCAACAUGUUUAGUUCGAUCAUGUUGAAUUGGAUUAUGGGCAAUAUCGAUGGCUGACUUGUUAUCACAAUGUAACUCCAUUGGCUUUUCUGGCAUGAACCCCAAUUCUGUCAAUAGUCUUCUUAUCCAUAGUAAUUCACAAACUCCUUGAGCCAUUCCUCGAUAUUCUGUUUCAGCACUAGUUCGAGAAACUACAUUUUGUUUCUUACUCCGCCAAGUGACUAGGUUACCUCCCACAAAAGUGAAGUAACCUGAAGUAGAUCGUCUGUCAGUAACGGAGCCAGCCCAAUCAACAUCUGUAUAUCCAACAACUUCGAGAUCUCUAUUUUUGGAGAAUGUCAACCCUUUCCUAGGUGCUGACUUUAAGUAUCUUAAGAUCCGAUCAACUGCAUUCCUAUGGGACACACUCGGUGAAUGCAUAAACUAACUAACCACACUCACAGCAUAUGCAAUAUCUGGUCUUGUGUGAGCUAAAUAUAUCAACCUUCCAACAAGGCGUUGGUACUGUUCCUUAUUGAUUGGUUCUUGAUCCAUGUCUUCACAUAACUUGUUUGUGAUUCAUCUCGAUGGGUGUAUCAACAGGUUUGCAUCCAAGCAUUCCUGUUUCAGUGAGCAGAUCUAAUACAUACUUCCUUUGAGACAGAAAUAUACCAAUUGUGAACUGGCUACUUCAAUUCCUAAAAAGUACUUCAGAUCACCUAAAUCUUUCAUCUCAAAUUCUUGAGACAAAUACUUCUGCAGUUUCAGUUGCUCUCCUGUGUCGUUUUCAGUUACGACUAUGUCAUCCACAUAAACAAUCAAUGCAGUAAGUCUUUUUCCAUCACGCUUCAAGAAUAAAGUGUGAUAUGCAUUACUCUGUAUAUAUCAAAAAUUCUACAUGGAUUUAGUGAAUCUGCCAAACCAUGCCCUAGGGGAUUGUUUUAACCCAUACAAUGACUUUCUAAGCUUGCAAACUUGAUUCUCCUUGUCACGAGCUAAGUUACAUCCUGGUGGCAAGUCCAUAUAUACUUCUUCUUCCAAGUCUCCAUGUAAGAAAGCAUUUUUGACAUCAAACUGAUGUAAUGGCCAAUCGAGAUUUGCUGCUAGAGACAGAAGGACUCUGAUAGUUUUAAUCUUGGCUACUGGGGCAAAGAUUUCUUGAUAGUCUAUCACAUAUCUUUGUGCGUACCCCUUCACCAAAAAUCUAACUUUAUAUCUUUCAAUGGAUCCAUUUGCUUUGAGUUUCACAGUAUAAAUCCACAUGCAUCCCAAUGUCUUCUUUCUAUGAAGUAAUGGCACAAGUUCUCAUGUGUCAUUCUUCUGGAGAGCUCGCAUUUCUUCAUUCAUGGCUUCUUUCCAUUUUGAACCUUCUAGUGCUUCAGUUACAUCGUUGGAAACAGGUAUGUCGGCCAACUGCUUCACAAAUUGUACCUGUAACUCUGAUAAUCUAUUGAUGGAUACAUAAUUGUUGAUGGGAUAUUUCCCCUUUGCAUUAAGGUCUGCUUCAUAGUGAACUGGAGAUUUUCCACGGUUAUUCCGUUUUGGAAUAUGAUAUGCAGGCUCUGUGCCUUCUGAAAUUAAAUCAUCAUGGGCUAUUUCAUUAAUGUUAUUCGUUUCAGGAAAAGAUGUUACCUGAAUGACGUCUUCAGUAGGUGAUUGGUGUGGUACUGGAGUUGAAGAAUACUCCUGAGUGGGAAAAAACUCCUCAAUUUUCUCCUCCUGAGUCUGAUAGUCGGGAAACGACCGGUCGCAGUCCUCUAGCGACCGGUCGUUUUGAAGAAGCAUAUUCAGAUUUGUAGGUGGCAACCAGUCGCUUUCAACCUGCGACCGAUCGUUUUCAGAUAGAGUCUCUGGCGACCAAUCGUUUGCACCCUGCGACCGGUCGUUUUUAGGCAGAGUCUUGGGAUACCGAUCGUUCGAAUCCUGUGACCGGUCGUUUUCAUUCUGGGAAAAAUUUGAAGGGAAAAAUUCUGAAAUGUGAGAAGUGUUGGCAUUUUGAUCCUCCUCCUGGAUGGCUGAAAAAUAUAUGUCGGAUUCCCGGAAUACAACAUCCAUAGAAGUAUAGACUUUCUAACUCAGAUGAUGAUAACACCGGUACACUUUCUGAUGAGGUGCAUAGCCGAUGAAAACACAUUUUUCGGCGCGGAGAUCCAAUUUGCUGCGUUGGUGAUCAUGUAAGUAGACGAAGACCACACAGCCAAAGAUCAGGGGGAUACGGGGUUCCAGGUUUUUGGUAUGAGGUAUUUGGAGAUGGUGGUAGAGUGUUUGAAGGGGGGUUUGGAAAUUGAGGAUACUGGAGGGAAUCCGAUUGAUAAGAUAUGUUGUAGAGAGGACGGCUUCUCCCCAAAAGGACCGAGGCAUAUUGGAGGCAAAGAGAGAGGCACGAACCACUUCCAAUAAGUGUCUAUUCUUUCGUUCAGCCACACCAUUUUGUUGGGAAGUGUAAGGGCAUGAAUGUUGAUGUAUGAUGUCAUGAUCUUGUAAGAACUGAUUAAGAUCACGGUUGAGAAAUUCUCCGCCAUUGUCAGACCGAAGAACCUGAAUUCUGGUAUGAAAUUGGGUCUCUACCAUUUGAUAGAACUAUUGAAAUUUGGAAUUGACGUCCCCUUUUGUUUGGAGAAGAGAAACCCAGGUCAUACGUGUGCAAUCAUCGAUAAACGUGACCAACCAUCUAGCUCCCCCAAGAGUGGUAAUUUUAGUCGGGCCCCAAACAUCAGAAUGAACAAGAGAAAAGGGAACCAAACUUUUAUGUGAACUUAACGGAAAAGGAACACGAUGGCUCUUGGCUAGUUCACAGAUGCCACAUGUAAAACUGGAGAUAUCUAACUGGGAAAAUAAGGAAUGAAAUAGCUUCUGUAAAUAUCCAAACGACGCAUGUCCAAGAUGUCGAUGCCAUAACUAUACUUCGGAAGUUUGCUUCUCAACACUCGUACCCCUAAUUUUGUAAGCUUGACUGAGGCUGGCUUCACUAUCAAAGGCCAAGUCCAGAUAGUAGAGUUUGCCCCUCCUAGUACCACAACCAAUCGUCUUGCUGCUGAGGUUGUCCUAAAAAACACAAUGAGUAGGCCAAAAGGUUACAUUGCAAUUCAAAGCCGUAGUAAUUUGGGCAACAAACAAAAAAUUAUGAUGUAAGGAUGGAACAAUCAACACAGAAUCCAAAGUGAGGGAGUCACAGCGAGAGAGGGAACCCUCCCCAAUUACUGAGGAAGGGGUACCAUUGGCAUUAGACACCACCGAUUGAGAAGACGGGGUAUGAGAGGUAAGUUGUCCAGGAUCAAAGGUCAUGUGAUCAGUAGCUCCGAUGCAAUGACCCAAAUGUGUUUCUUUGAAAAACUAUGCAAAACAUAACCGUGGGAACCUGUUAUGGCAAUUUUGGAGGAUGGGGAAGUGACAGCGAUUUGGGAAGAUGAUACGAUAUUCAUGGCAGCGGAAGGAUUGAAGAAUAAGAGAACAAAAAAAAAAUUUGUGUUUAGGGUGUUAUGAUAAGAGGAUAUGAGGAUUCAUGUAUGAAGAUCUGUAUUUGAAGCUGUAAAUAUGAGGAAUUUGAUUUAAGGUUUGGGUGUGAAGAAAUUUGAUAUGAGAAUUUAGGGUUUGUGUUUGAAGAAAUUUGAUAUGAGGAUUUAGGGUUUGUGUUUGAAGAAAAUUUGAUAUGAGAAUUUAGAGACAACCGAGGAUCGAUUGCUCUGAUACCAUGCUAAAAUAUGAAUAUAGUUUGAAUGUAUUAGGUUGAGUUUUAUUCUUCUCCAUAAGGAGGUAUAUAAAAGAAUUUACAUGUGAUAUAUAAGGAAUUAGAUACAGUAAAAAAUUAGGAAAGUAUCUCCUAAUUAUACAAUGAUUUAUCAACUAUAUAAAAAUAGGAAAGUAAAUCCUUUAAUUAAUCAAGGAAGUAAAUCUCCUUGAUUAAUUAGGAGACUCACGUCAACAAACGCUACAUAAAAGAAUUAAGAUCAAAUAUCACUUUUUUUUAUUUUCCAUUUAUUCUGUGAUCAAUCCCAGCCAUCAUUACAUAUCAAAUGUGUAUGGCAAAAAGUAAACUAGAUAGAUAAUAGUGGAACUAUAAGUUGAGGCUUUCGGGGACAAUACAACUAAUCUUCCAAAGACAUGAAAAUGAGGCAUGUAUUUAAUCACAAAACUUAGCACCUCCAAUUCUGUUGGGAAGAGCUUUAAAAACCCAAGUCAAGUUUGAAAGGAACUGGCCAUUUUCUUGGGCGGUUGGCAACCACAUGAUAUGGUUUACAUUAACUCACACAGCUCUCUUCUGUCUCACUCACUUUCCACAUUUGGCUGCAUUUUUCGGUAGUACUUGUGAAGGCCAAUGCAGUCUUAUUUGCCCUCCAAAUCUCUAGCUUAAAAGUUGAGGACCAUAGCUAACAUGAUCUUCAUGCAUGUGAAACAAUCCAAUCAACAUGAUGUAUAGGAAAGAUUUGAAUGCCAAAUGGAUUGAGUUUUGGUUUAUGAGUUUCAAUAAUUUGCCACUAAACAUGGCUUCAUGUGCCUAGUUUAAUUUCAUUCGUAUAGGUGGGUGUAUACUUUUCCAACGUUCGUAUAGGUAGGUAGACAUAAAUAAUUCGUUAGUGUAUACAAAAUCCAUACACGUCAAUGAAAAUGAUACAACAUUUAUUGGUACAACAAUAUAUUUGGUCCUCCAGGGCAACUGGCUUGAAUUUGGUUCUUUUCUUUUUUUUCCUUUUUUUUUUUCUCAUUAACCGGACUGGGUAGGUUGGGAUUGUGGUGGGGAGAAGUCGAACUUGAAUCUCUUCCAAUUGAUCGGAAAAAUAAAUAUAUCAUGCUUAUGGUCAAAAUUAGUACUAAUUAUCUUUCUCAAAUUCUUAACUAUAAUUUUUAAACCUACGUGAUUUUUCAUCAUCAGUCAGAAAAUAUAAGCGGAUGAGUGAGUGAGUGGUUUAAUUUUUCUCCGAAAUUCGUACAGUACAGUGCAGCCGGGGCCUUCUGUUUGAUUUGAUUGAAUAAAUUAGUUUGACAUAAUAAUCUAUCUGCAGAAAUAUCACCUCCACAACCACAAUUAAUUUGAUAUUUUUCAUUUCUUGAUCCCAUAUAUUUUGACACUGAAUAUUAAUUGCUCCAUAGUAUUGCAAUGGAAUUAAUGAUACACCUGUCUCUCUGUCUAGAAAUCUAGAAAUCCCCUUGAAGACCAACCUCCGUAAAGCAUUAGCAGCAAUUUAAACUCUCAACAACUUCCCUCUACCCCAAUGCCUUUUAAUUCAAACUUUUGUAUUUAUGUUCCAACCAAUAUUAUUUAUACAUGACAAAUCCCCCCUCCUCAACCCAUGUACAAGGUUGUUCUGUUCACGCACACAUCUGGACACAAAUAAUUAACAAGCAAAACAGCUGAACAUGGCAAACUUGCACAUUUCAUGGCUUCUUCUAGCUCAAUGCCUGUUGCUAGUCACCAGAAUUACUGCCAAAGUCCCAGCAGUCGUCGUGUUCGGGGACUCUUCGGUUGAUGCUGGGAACAACAAUCAGAUUCCCACAAUUGCCAGGAGUAACUUUCAGCCUUAUGGCCGGGACUUUUCCGGUGGCAAGCCGACUGGGAGGUUCUCCAACGGCAGAGUGCCUACAGAUUUCAUCUCCCAGGCUCUUGGACUCAGACCAUUCAUACCUGCCUACUUGGAUCCUUCCCAUAGCAUAUCAGAUUUUGCCAUUGGUGUCACCUUUGCUUCCGCUGGGACUGGCUAUGAUACUGCAACUUCAGAUGUGCUGGUAAGUACCAAAUAUUUAGCAUAAAGCUUCUCUUGUCUCACACACAUUUAAUAUCGAGUAAUGCUACACUUAUCACAUUUUUAUCCCACAUUUCUAUACCACAUGAUAUGGCAUGUCCAUAUCAUAUGCCACAUCAAUUAAAUCAAUGAAGUAUAUUUCAAUAAACAAAGUUUAAUUGACAAUUUUUUUUUAAAGUGUUAAUAAAUCAUAAAAGAAUAGAAAAUGUUAAAUAAUUUUAAUUGACAUGUGGCUGUCCACCUCAUCUGCCAUAUAAGGUGGUAUGGGAAUGUGAUAUACAAAUGUACUAAGAGUAGCAUUAUUCUUUAAUAUCAUAUGAGCUACUGAUAUGGGUUAGGCCAGUUGGCCAGAACAGUAGGCUCGCUUCUUUGCACAUAAGUUCGAAACUUCCUCCCCAUAAAUUAAAUUAAUUUAAUAUUACCUCUUCUAUAAAAAAUAAAAAAUAAAAAUCAGAUGGCCUUUACCCUUACCUCUUACUCAGCAUGUGGUGUUCAUAAUUGGACUUGAAUGUUUAUCCUUACCCCUUACCCAAUACGUGGUGUUCACGUGUUGGGCUUGAAUGUUUGACUCUGAUGUGGACUUGGCUUCACAUGUAGCCCACUAUAUGGUAGUCCCACGCGACGGGGCUAGUUGAAGAAUAUGAGUCCCAUAUCGGAAACUUGACUAAAUAAAAUACAAAAUACAAUAAAUGGUUCCACUACUAAUAUAACCGAGGCCUUUUGUGAUACAACCUCAUACUUACUGGGCUUUGUAGGUAGCUAAGUUGGGGACAAUAUCGAUGUUGCUAGUAGUGGGUCGAUGAUCCAUCUUUCUAAAAUUUAACAAUAGAUUGAUAUUGGAUACUAGCCAAUUAGUGUCCAUUCCAUCAAUAUCAUGUUCAAUUUUCCUUUUUUUAAAGAAAGUACCAGUUCAUCAUUUGUCACUGCCUUAAUUUGCAGUCUGUGAUACCACUAUGGAAGCAACUGGAGUACUACAAGGAAUACCAGAACAAACUGAGACUUUAUCUUGGAGGAAACAAAGCAAACGAAACAAUCAAUGGAGCUUUGCACAUUAUGAGCUUAGGGACCAAUGACUUCCUGGAAAACUACUACUCAUACCCCGGCCGGUCAUCCCAAUACUCUAUCCAACAGUACCAAUAUCUUCUCAUUGGAAUUGCAGGAAAUUUCAUCAAGCAACUCUACCAUCUUGGAGCCCGGAAAAUCUCCCUCGGAGGUCUGCCUCCGAUGGGGUGCUUGCCAUUGGAGAGAACCACAAACAUCAUGGGUGGAAAUGACUGCAUUGAAGAUUACAACAAUGUUGCUCUGGAGUUCAAUGGCAAGUUGAAUGGCUUGACCACAAACCUCAACAAAGAGCUUCCUGGUCUCAAACUUGUGUUUUCAAACCCAUAUUACAUUUUCCUGCAGAUGAUAAGAAGACCUUCUUUGUAUGGUAAGUCAGUGACUUGUAUUAAGUGUGCUCUGUUGCAAAUGUUUGACCCAACCACUACACAAAAUCUUUAGAGCACCAUAUUUCUCACUUUAGCAUUUAAGUAUUCACAUUCUUUUGGGUGGUGGAUAUCAUGUGAUUUUUAUUUCUAGUUUUUAUAUGUAGUUUUUUCUCCCCUGUUUAAGCUAGAGAAUUUGUACACUAGUUAAACUGUGAUUUGUCUGAUUAAAUUAUCGUGUGAUUGACAGGAUUUGAAGUGACAUCAGUAGCUUGCUGUGCCACAGGGAUGUUUGAAAUGGGGUACGCAUGCAAUCGAAACAACAUGCUCACCUGCACAGAUGCAAGCAAAUAUAUAUUCUGGGAUUCUUUUCACCCUACAGAGAAAGCAAACCAUAUCAUCUCUGAUUAUGUGGUGAAAAAUGUACUGGCCCAGUUUCUUUGAUUCUCUUUAAUUUCAAGACCAAUGUAUGUGUCCUAUGU